RNAcentral lists this ribosomal RNA (567 nucleotides) under uncultured bacterium. RNAcentral describes it as "bacterial SSU rRNA". It matches the Rfam family "Bacterial small subunit ribosomal RNA", at positions 338 to 916 of the family's 1533-position model. The record is from RNAcentral.
CCUACGGGAGGCAGCAGUGGGGAAUAUUGCACAAUGGGCGAAAGCCUGAUGCAGCGACGCCGCGUGAGGGAUGACGGCCUUCGGGUUGUAAACCUCUUUCAGCAGGGAAGAAGCGAAAGUGACGGUACCUGCAGAAGAAGCACCGGCUAACUACGUGCCAGCAGCCGCGGUAAUACGUAGGGUGCGAGCGUUGUCCGGAAUUAUUGGGCGUAAAGAGCUUGUAGGCGGUUUGUCGCGUCUGCCGUGAAAAUUCGAGGCUCAACCUCGAACUUGCGGUGGGUACGGGCAGACUAGAGUGUGGUAGGGGAGACUGGAAUUCCUGGUGUAGCGGUGAAAUGCGCAGAUAUCAGGAGGAACACCGAUGGCGAAGGCAGGUCUCUGGGCCACUACUGACGCUGAGAAGCGAAAGCAUGGGGAGCGAACAGGAUUAGAUACCCUGGUAGUCCAUGCCGUAAACGUUGGGAACUAGGUGUGGGUCUCAUUCCACGAGAUCCGUGCCGCAGCUAACGCAUUAAGUUCCCCGCCUGGGGAGUACGGCCGCAAGGCUAAAACUUAAGGAAUUGACGG